This 253-nucleotide ribosomal RNA is filed under the name uncultured bacterium. RNAcentral describes it as "partial 16S ribosomal RNA". It matches the Rfam family "Bacterial small subunit ribosomal RNA", at positions 524 to 776 of the family's 1533-position model. The record is from RNAcentral.
GACAGAGGUGCCGAGCGUUAGGCGGAAUCACUGGGCUUAAAGCGUGUGUAGGCGGCUCUGUAAGUACCUUGUGAAAUCCCACGGCUCAACCGUGGAACUGCUUGGUAUACUGCGGGUCUUGAGCCACCUAGGGGCAAGUGGAACAAACGGUGGAGCGGUGAAAUGCGUAGAUAUCGUUUGGAACGCCAAUGGUGAAAACAACUUGCUGGGGGUGUGCUGACGCUGAGACACGAAAGCGUGGGUAGCAAACAGG